AACGAACGCUGGCGGCAUGCCUAACACAUGCAAGUCGAACGAGACCUUCGGGUCUAGUGGCGCACGGGUGCGUAACGCGUGGGAACCUGCCCUUAGGUUCGGAAUAACUCCCCGAAAGGGGUGCUAAUACCGGAUAAUGUCUUCGGACCAAAGAUUUAUCGCCUUUGGAUGGGCCCGCGUUGGAUUAGCUAGUUGGUAGGGUAAAAGCCUACCAAGGCGACGAUCCAUAGCUGGUCUGAGAGGAUGAGCAGCCACACUGGGACUGAGACACGGCCCAGACUCCUACGGGAGGGAGCAGUGGGGAAUAUUGGAAAAUGGGCGAAAGCCUGAUCCAGCAAUGCCGCGUGAGUGAUGAAGGCCUUAGGGUUGUAAAGCUCUUUUACCCGGGAUGAUAAUGACAGUACCGGGAGAAUAAGCACCGGCUAACUCCGUG
Molecule: ribosomal RNA, 433 nt
Filed under: uncultured bacterium
Lineage: Bacteria
Description: partial 16S ribosomal RNA
Rfam family: Bacterial small subunit ribosomal RNA
Source: RNAcentral